AGAAUCAACGCUGGCGGCGUGCCUAACACAUGCAAGUCGCACGAGAAAGGGGAGCAAUCCCUGAGUACAGUGGCGCACGGGUGAGUAACACGUGAAUUAUCUACCUCCGAGUGGGGAAUAACUGAGAGAAAUCUUAGCUAAUACCGCAUAACACUUACGAGUCAAAGCAGCAAUGCGCUUGGAGAGGAGUUCGCGGCCGAUUAGUUAGUUGGCGGGGUAAUGGCCCACCAAGACGAUGAUCGGUAUCCGGCCUGAGAGGGCGCACGGACACACUGGAACUGAAACACGGUCCAGACUCCUACGGGAGGCAGCAGUGGGGAAUUUUGGCGCAAUGGGGGAAACCCUGACGCAGCAACGCCGCGUGGAGGAUGAAGCCCCUUGGGGUGUAAACUCCUUUCGAUCGGGAAGAUAAUGACGGUACCGAUAUAAGAAGCCCCGGCUAACUUCGUGCCAGCAGCCGC
Molecule: ribosomal RNA, 461 nt
Filed under: uncultured bacterium
Lineage: Bacteria
Description: SSU rRNA
Rfam family: Bacterial small subunit ribosomal RNA
Source: RNAcentral